RNAcentral lists this ribosomal RNA (527 nucleotides) under Termitomyces sp. M1O. RNAcentral describes it as "eukaryotic LSU rRNA". It matches the Rfam family "Eukaryotic large subunit ribosomal RNA", at positions 1 to 525 of the family's 3401-position model. Lineage: Eukaryota; Fungi; Basidiomycota; Agaricomycetes; Agaricales; Lyophyllaceae. The record is from RNAcentral.
UUUGACCUCAAAUCAGGUAGGACUACCCGCUGAACUUAAGCAUAUCAAUAAGCGGAGGAAAAGAAACUAACAAGGAUUCCCCUAGUAACUGCGAGUGAAGCGGGAAAAGCUCAAAUUUAAAAUCUGGUAGUCUUUGGCUGCCCGAGUUGUAAUCUAGAGAAGCAUUAUCUGCACUGGACUGUGUAUAAGUAUCCUGGAAUGGAUCAUCAUAGAGGGUGAGAAUCCCGUCUUUGACACAGACUCCCUUUGCCUUGUGAUGUGCUCUCAAAGAGUCGAGUUGUUUGGGAAUGCAGCUCUAAAUGGGUGGUAAAUUCCAUCUAAAGCUAAAUAUUGGCGAGAGACCGAUAGCGAACAAGUACCGUGAGGGAAAGAUGAAAAGAACUUUGGAAAGAGAGUUAAACAGUACGUGAAAUUGCUGAAAGGGAAACGCUUGAAGUCAGUCGCGUUGGCUGGGGAUCAACCUUGCUUUUUGCUUGGCUUACUUCCCAGUUGACGGGUCAGCAUCAGUUUUGACCGGUGGAUAAAGG